Molecule: ribosomal RNA, 492 nt
Filed under: uncultured bacterium
Lineage: Bacteria
Description: partial 16S ribosomal RNA
Rfam family: Bacterial small subunit ribosomal RNA
Source: RNAcentral
AGUGAACGCUGGCGGUAGGCCUAACACAUGCAAGUCGAACGGCAGCACAGUAAGAGCUUGCUCUUACGGGUGGCGAGUGGCGGACGGGUGAGGAAUACAUCGGAAUCUACUUUUUCGUGGGGGAUAACGUAGGGAAACUUACGCUAAUACCGCAUACGACCUACGGGUGAAAGCAGGGGAUCUUCGGACCUUGCGCGAUUGAAUGAGUCGAUGUCGGAUUAGCUAGUUGGCGGGGUAAAGGCCCACCAAGGCGACGAUCCGUAGCUGGUCUGAGAGGAUGAUCAGCCACACUGGAACUGAGACACGGUCCAGACUCCUACGGGAGGCAGCAGUGGGGAAUAUUGGACAAUGGGCGGAAGCCUGAUACAGCCAUACCGCGUGGGUGAAGAAGGCCUUCGGGUUGUAAAGCCCUUUUGUUGGGAAAGAACAGCAGCAGGUUAAUACCCCGCUGUUCUGACGGUACCCAAAGAAUAAGCACCGGCUAACUUCGUG